RNAcentral lists this ribosomal RNA (274 nucleotides) under uncultured bacterium. RNAcentral describes it as "partial 16S ribosomal RNA". It matches the Rfam family "Bacterial small subunit ribosomal RNA", at positions 523 to 796 of the family's 1533-position model. The record is from RNAcentral.
AUACGGAGGGUCCAAGCGUUAUCCGGAAUCAUUGGGUUUAAAGGGUUCGUAGGCGGGUCAAUAAGUCAGAGGUGAAAUCUUGCAGCUUAACUGGAAAAUUGCCUUUGAAACUGUUGACCUUGAAUUACUGUGAAGUGGUUAGAAUAUGUAGUGUAGCGGUGAAAUGCUUAGAGAUUACAUAGAAUACCGAUUGCGAAGGCAGAUCACUAACAGUAUAUUGACGCUGAUGAACGAAAGCGUGGGUAGCGAACGGGAUUAGAUACCCGGGUAGUCC